UAAUACUAGCGGUCCAAGUCGCAGACAUUUUUAUUGGGUCUAAAACAUACGUAGCUUGCUUAAUAAGUUCCUUGUGAAAUUCCAUGUCUCAAGCAUGGAGCGCGCAAGGAGUACUAUUAAGCUAGAGACUGGAAGACGUAGGAAGUACGAUUAAAGUAGCGGUAAAAUGUGUUAAUCUUAAUCGGACUCACAACAGCGAAGGCAUCCUACGAGUACAGUUCUGACAGUAAGGGAUGAAAGCUAGGGGCGCAAAACGGAUUAGAUACCCGUGUAGUCCUAGCCGUAAACACUGCACACUAAACAUUAGUACCUCCUCGAGAGGUAUUAGUGCUGAAGGGAAGCCGAAGAGUGUGCUACCUGGGAAGUAUAGUCGCAAGGCCG
RNAcentral lists this ribosomal RNA (381 nucleotides) under uncultured euryarchaeote. Its description in RNAcentral is "bacterial SSU rRNA". It matches the Rfam family "Archaeal small subunit ribosomal RNA", at positions 471 to 851 of the family's 1478-position model. The record is from RNAcentral. Lineage: Archaea; Methanobacteriati; Methanobacteriota.